Molecule: ribosomal RNA, 253 nt
Filed under: uncultured bacterium
Lineage: Bacteria
Description: partial 16S ribosomal RNA
Rfam family: Bacterial small subunit ribosomal RNA
Source: RNAcentral
UACGAAGGGGGCUAGCGUUGCUCGGAAUCACUGGGCGUAAAGGGUGCGUAGGCGGGUCUUUAAGUCAGGGGUGAAAGCCUGUGGCUCAACCACAGAAUUGCCUUCGAUACUGUAGAGCUUGAGACCGGAAGAGGUAAGUGGAACUGCGAGUGUAGAGGUGAAAUUCGUAGAUAUUCGCAAGAACACCAGUGGCGAAGGCGGCUUACUGGUCCGGUUCUGACGCUGAGGCGCGAAAGCGUGGGGAGCAAACAGG